RNAcentral lists this unclassified non-coding RNA (24 nucleotides) under Dictyostelium discoideum. Lineage: Eukaryota; Evosea; Eumycetozoa; Dictyosteliales; Dictyosteliaceae. The record is from RNAcentral.
GUAUUCAAUAAUAAUAAUAAUGAU